GACGAACGCUGGCGGCGUGCCUAAUACAUGCAAGUCGAGCGGGGUGAUGGUGCUUGCACUAUCACUUAGCGGCGGACAGGUGAGUAAUGCUUAGGAAUCUGCCUAUUAGUGGGGGACAACAUCUCGAAAGGGAUGCUAAUACCGCAUACGUCCUACGGGAGAAAGCAGGGGAUCACUUGUGACCUUGCGCUAAUAGAUGAGCCUAAGUCGGAUUAGCUAGUUGGUGGGGUAAAGGCCUACCAAGGCGACGAUCUGUAGCGGGUCUGAGAGGAUGAUCCGCAACACUGGGACUGGGAAACGGCCCAGACUCCUACGGGAGGCAGCAGUGGGGAAUAUUGGACAAUGGGGGGAACCCUGAUCCAGCCAUGCCGCGUGUGUGAAGAAGGCCUUAUGGUUGUAAAGCACUUUAAGCGAGGAGGAGGCUCUUUUGGUUAAUACCCAAGAUGAGUGGACAUUACUCGCAGAAUAAGCACCGGCUAACUCUGUGCCAGCCGCCGCCGUAA
Molecule: ribosomal RNA, 503 nt
Filed under: uncultured bacterium
Lineage: Bacteria
Description: partial 16S ribosomal RNA
Rfam family: Bacterial small subunit ribosomal RNA
Source: RNAcentral